ACCGGAGAGGGAGCCUUAGAAACGGCUACCACAUCUAAGGAAGGCAGCAGGCGCGCAAAUUACCCACUCUCAGAACGAGGAGGUAGUGAAUUUAAAUAGCGAUGAUGAACUCUUAUGAGGCUCGUCAAUCGAAAUGAGUACAAUUUAAAUCCUUUAACGAGUACCAAUUGGAGGGCAAGUCUGGUGCCAGCAGCCGCGGUAAUUCCAGCUCCAAUAGCGAAUAUUAAAUUUGUUGCAGUUAAAAAGCUCGUAGUUGGAUCCAAGGUUAGGCAUGCCUGUCUGUUCUUAGUAGCAUGACUGUGUGUGUCUGCCUUUAUUAGUUGAAUGUUCAUUAUGGUGGUCUUCAUCGACUGCUAUGAUGUGCUCAACACGUUUACCUUGAAAAAAUCAGAGCGAUCAAGGCAGGCCUUCGUGCUUGUAUGUUGUUGCAAGGAAUAAUAGAAUAGGACUUCGGUUCUAUUUUGUUGGUUUUGAGAAUUGAAGUAAUGAACAAUAGAGACAGUCGGGGGCAUUUGUAUGGUGGCGUUAGAGGUGAAAUUCUGAGAUCGUCGCCAGACAAACUACUGCGAAAGCAUUUGCCAAGGAUGUCUUCAUUAAUCAAGAACGAAAGUCAGAGGUUCGAAGACGAUCAGAUACCGUCCUAGUUCUGACCAUAAACGAUGCCGACCUACAAUCGGGGGUGGUUUAUUAUAUUGACCCUCCCGGCUGUCCUCAGGAAACUUUAAGUUGGUUCUGGGGGGAAUAUGGUCUCAAGACUGAAACUUAAAGGAAUUGACGGAAGGGCACCACCAGGAGUGGAGCCUGCGGCUUAAUUUGACCCAACACGGGGAAUCUCACCCGGUCCGGACACUGGUAGGAUGGACAGAUUGAUAGCUCUUUCCUGAUUCAGUGGGUGGUGGUGCAUGGCCGUUCUUAGUUGGUGGAGUGAUUUGUCUGGUUAAUUCCGAUAACGAACGAGACUCUGUCCUGCUAAAUAGUCCAGUGGCAUCAAUCACUAUGUGAUUACAGCUGCUGUUACUUCUUAGAGGGAUUCGCGGAUUUAAACCGCAAGAAAUAGAGCAAUAACAGGUCUGUGAUGCCCUUAGAUGUCCGGGGCCGCACGCGCGCUACAUUGACAGUAGAAGCGAGUAUUUCUACCUGGUUCGAAAGAAUUGGGAAAUCUUCGAAUUACUGUCUCCACAGGGAUUGAGGUUUCAAUUUUGCCUCAUGAACGAGGAAUUCCCAGUAGGCGCAAGUCAUCAGCUUGCGUCGAUUACGUCCCUGCCCUUUGUACACACCGCCCGUCGCUACUACCGAUUGAGUGCAUUAGUGAGGACCUCGGAUUGAGAACAUAGUGGCGCAAGUUACUUUGUUUUCGAAAAGUGGUUCAAAUUUGUGCAUUUAGAGAUAGUAAAAGUCGUAACAAGGUU
Molecule: ribosomal RNA, 1409 nt
Filed under: metagenome
Description: SSU rRNA
Rfam family: Eukaryotic small subunit ribosomal RNA
Source: RNAcentral